This is a long non-coding RNA of Suricata suricatta (meerkat), 403 nucleotides long. RefSeq lists it as uncharacterized. Lineage: Eukaryota; Metazoa; Chordata; Mammalia; Carnivora; Herpestidae. The transcript has 3 exons. The record is from RefSeq and is a predicted model, not a curated record.
AUUUCCAGGCUUUCUUGUAGCCAGGAUGAGCCAUGUGACACAUUCUGCCAUGAAUUGUGAGCGUGGCAUUUAAUUGCUGAUGCAAGACCUUCCAGAACUCUUUUCAUCUUUGCCAUGGCAAUCAACAAUGUUCCGGAGAGUAUAUGCUCUGUAAGCCUUGGUCUUGGAGAGAGGAUGAUGCAGAAGAGAAUCCCAUUCACCUCAUGAUGGAUAUUUAAAGAUCAGGUGGCGAAGCUGGAGUAUCCCUUGUGAGGAAUUCCUACUAAGGAAUCUCUGCCAGUCUCUGCCUGGGCAGCUUGCAAGGCAAAAAUGGUGCCGAUCUCCUUGUACAAGGCAUGCAGGAGUCCUCAGACAUAGAAGCAGAGAAAGCAGAUUUUCAAAAGAUUGGGAUUUUGCUGCAAAG